This 549-nucleotide ribosomal RNA is filed under the name uncultured Glomus. RNAcentral describes it as "SSU rRNA". It matches the Rfam family "Eukaryotic small subunit ribosomal RNA", at positions 548 to 1098 of the family's 1831-position model. The record is from RNAcentral. Lineage: Eukaryota; Fungi; Glomeromycota; Glomeromycetes; Glomerales; Glomeraceae.
UUGGAGGGCAAGUCUGGUGCCAGCAGCCGCGGUAAUUCCAGCUCCAAUAGCGUAUAUUAAAGUUGUUGCAGUUAAAAAGCUCGUAGUUGAAUUUCGGGGUCAAUAAGUUGGUCGUGCCAAUGGUAUGCACUGGCUUUAUUGAUUCCUACCUCUUGACGAACUGUGAUGCCAUUAAUUUGGUGUCGCAAGGAAUCAGGACUGUUACCUUGAAAAAAUUAGAGUGUUUAAAGCGGGCUUACGCUUGAAUACAUUAGCAUGGAAUAAUGAAAUAGGACGUUUGAACCUAUUUUGUUGGUUUCUAGGAUCGACGUAAUGAUUAAUAGGGAUAGUUGGGGGCAUUAGUAUUCAAUUGUCAGAGGUGAAAUUCUUGGAUUUAUUGAAGACUAACUACUGCGAAAGCAUUUGCCAAGGAUGUUUUCAUUAAUCAAGAACGAAAGUUAGGGGAUCGAAGACGAUCAGAUACCGUCGUAGUCUUAACCAUAAACUAUGCCGACUAGGGAUCGGAUGAUGUUAAUUUUUUAAUGACUCAUUCGGCGCCUUACGGGAAAC